This 592-nucleotide ribosomal RNA is filed under the name uncultured bacterium. RNAcentral describes it as "bacterial SSU rRNA". It matches the Rfam family "Bacterial small subunit ribosomal RNA", at positions 8 to 610 of the family's 1533-position model. The record is from RNAcentral.
AGAGUUUGAUCCUGGCUCAGGAGGAACGCUGGCGGCGUGCUUAACACAUGCUAGUCGAACGAUGAAGCCGGAGCUUGCUCAGGAGGAUUAUUGGCGAACGGGUGAGUAACAAGUGAGCAACCUGCCCUUCACUCUGGGAUAACUGCGGGAAACUGUACCUCACACCGGAUAUUACGAUCCGAGGCAUCGCUGAUCUUGGAAAGAAUUUCUGUGAAGGAUGAGACUCACGGCCUACCUACUAUGUUGGUGAGGUAAUGGCUCACCGAGGACACUACGGGCAGCCGGACUGACAGGGUGACCGGCCACACUGGAACUGAGAGAUUGUUCAGACUGCUACGGGAGGUACCCUUCGGGAAUAUUGCACAAUGGGCGCACGCCUGAGGCUUCACCCCUCGUGAGGGACGAAUGCCUCUCGGUUGUAAACCUCGUUUAUCAUGGAAGAAGCUAGAGUGACGGAACAUGCAGAAAAAGCACCCGCUAACUACGUGCCAGGACCCGCUCUCAUGCCUGCGGCGCAAGCGUUGUCUGGAAAUAUAGUGCGUCAAGAGCUACGCUGACGGUUUGUCGCCUCUGCUGUGAAAACUGGAAGCUC